GGCUCCACCCCAAGGGCACACGAUCAGUAGCUGUUCUGAGGAGGACGACAGCACUGGACUGAGACACGUCAGACUCCUACGGGAGCAGCAGUGGGGAAUUUGACAAUGGCGAAGCUGAUCCAGCAUGCCGCGUGAGUGAAGAAGCCUUCGGGUGUAAAGCUCUUUUGUCAGGGAAGAAACGGUGGGGGCUAAUAUCCUUCGCUAAUGACGGUACCUGAAGAAUAAGCACCGGCUAACUACGUGCCAGCAGCCGCGGUAAUACGUAGGGUGCAAGCGUUAAUCGGAAUUACUGGGCGUAAAGCGUGCGCAGGCGGUUUUGUAAGUCUGACGUGAAAUCCCCGGGCUCAACCUGGGAAUUGCGUUGGAGACUGCAAGGCUAGAAUCUGGCAGAGGGGGGUAGAAUUCCACGUGUAGCAGUGAAAUGCGUAGAGAUGUGGAGGAACACCGAUGGCGAAGGCAGCCCCCUGGGUCAAGAUUGACGCUCAUGCACGAAAGCGUGGGGAGCAAACAGGAUUAGAUACCCUGGUAGUCCACGCCCUAAACGAUGUCUACUAGUUGUCGGGUUUUAAUUAACUUGGUAACGCAGCUAACGCGUGAAGUAGACCGCCUGGGGAGUACGGUCGCAAGAUUAAAACUCAAAGGAAUUGACGGGGACCCGCACAAGCGGUGGAUGAUGUGGAUUAAUUCGAUGCAACGCGAAAAACCUUACCUACCCUUGACAUGUACGGAAGACCGAAGAGAUUUGGUUGUGCUCGAAAGAGAACCGUAACACAGGUGCUGCAUGGCUGUCGUCAGCUCGUGUCGUGAGAUGUUGGGUUAAGUCCCGCAACGAGCGCAACCCUUGUCAUUAGUUGCUACAUUCAGUUGAGCACUCUAAUGAGACUGCCGGUGACAAACCGGAGGAAGGUGGGGAUGACGUCAAGUCCUCAUGGCCCUUAUGGGUAGGGCUUCACACGUCAUACAAUGGUACAUACAGAGGGCCGCCAACCCGCGAGGGGGAGCUAAUCCCAGAAAGUGUAUCGUAGUCCGGAUCGCAGUCUGCAACUCGACUGCGUGAAGUUGGAAUCGCUAGUAAUCGCGGAUCAGCAUGUCGCGGUGAAUACGUUCCCGGGUCUUGUACACACCGCCCGUCACACCAUGGGAGCGGGUUUUACCAGAAGUAGGUAGCUUAACCGC
RNAcentral lists this ribosomal RNA (1176 nucleotides) under uncultured beta proteobacterium. RNAcentral describes it as "bacterial SSU rRNA". It matches the Rfam family "Bacterial small subunit ribosomal RNA", at positions 256 to 1442 of the family's 1533-position model. Lineage: Bacteria; Pseudomonadati; Pseudomonadota; Betaproteobacteria. The record is from RNAcentral.